GGGGGAGGGGGGGGGGGGGGGUGGGGGGGGGGGGGGGGGGGGGGGGGGGGAGCUGGGGCGGGGCUGCAGCGGCGGAGGGGGGGGGGAGGCCUGGGAAUCGGCCGGUGAGCGGGGGAGAGGGUCCGGACGCGGGGGCUACUGCCGCAUACGUCCUGGGGGAGACGGGGGGUGGUCGGCGGACCUCGCGCUAUCGGAUGCGCCUAGGGCGGAUUGUCUAGUUUGUGGGGUAAAGGCCUACCCAGGCGACACUCCGUAACUCGUCUGAGAGGAUGAUCAGUCACACUGGAACUGAGACACGGUACAGACUCCUAGGGGAGGCAGCAGUGGGGAAUAUUGGACAAUGGGCGAAAGCCUGAUCCAGCCAUGCCGCGUGUGUGAAGAAGGUCUUCGGAUUGUAAAGCACUUUAAGUUGGGAGGAAGGGCAGUAAGUUAAUACCUUGCUGUUGUGACGUUACCAACAGAAUAAGCACCGGCUAACUUCGUG
RNAcentral lists this ribosomal RNA (484 nucleotides) under uncultured bacterium. RNAcentral describes it as "partial 16S ribosomal RNA". The stretch from base 58 to 484 matches the Rfam family "Bacterial small subunit ribosomal RNA", at positions 39 to 507 of the family's 1533-position model. The record is from RNAcentral.